GAUAUGGUAACCACCUGGGUUUUCAGGUGGGGUUGGACAGACAGACAAGGCAGACAGCCAUAGACUCCCAGACCCACAGAGCUGGAAGGGGUUCUCGGAGGUCCUCUAGUCCACCCCCCACUCGGUGCAGGCAAGCGCUAGUGCCUUUUCUCUCUAUCUCUAACGCAGCGCGUUUGGGAGAGCAAAGACCGUCCUCCGAGGAGCCAAGGACGUCACCAGGGGAGGAGGGAGGGUUUGGCUAGAGAAAAGUCCUGCCCUGCCUGGCUACUCAUCACCGUGCACCGUGGUCGGAGUCCCUUCUUGGCCGAGGCCCCUGGAGAAGCUGCUGCCUGCCUGGGUUGGGCAAGGGCAACUGCUUGCCGGCUCCCUUCUUUCUACUCCCCGAGCCGCGCCUGCGCAGACGGGCUUGUUCGGGGGAGGAGGCGGAGAGGAGGAAGCCGGCCCCGCUCUCGGCUCUCCCGCAGCCAGCCCGGCUGUUCCCCGCCCCUGCCCGGCCGCUCCUCGGACUUGGGUGAAGCCCCGCAGAAGAAGCAAAGCAGUGGGACGGCAGGUGACGGAAGAGGGAAGGCCCCACCCAGGAUCGUUCAGAGGGAUCAGACAGAAGGAGGAGGGAACAACAGAGGAGGAAAACCAGAAGCCAAACAGAAGAACAAGAAGGGGCCUUCUCCCUCUGAGCCGUGUGACAUCUCUAAAACCAGAAUCUGAAAAACAACGGGGAAAGAAAGAGAAAGAAGACGCUGCCCUGUGAGUAGGAAGAACUUGAGUUGUAUUUUGCUGCAGGAUUCACAGUGGGAAAUGAGCGCGAGGGAGAAGCCGCAUAAAUGCUUGGAGUGUGGAAAGAGCUUCAGCAAGAGUGCAGUUCUAACUAUACAUCAAAGAACCCACACUGGAGAGAGACCAUAUGAGUGCUUGGAGUGUGGAAGGAGUUUCAAGGUGAGUUCCCACCUCACUUCACAUCAAAGGACCCACACUGGAGAGAAGCCACAUCACUGCUUGGAGUGUGGAAAGAGCUUCAGUGCGAGAGGAUCACUUACUAUGCAUCGAAGAACCCACACUGGAGAGAGACCAUAUGAGUGCUUGGAGUGUGGAAAGAGCUUCAAGGUCAGUUCCCACCUCACCUCACAUCAAAGAAUCCACACUGGAGAGAAACCUUACGAGUGCUUCGAGUGUGGAAAGAGCUUCAGUGCGAGAGGAUCGUUUACUAUGCAUCAAAGGACCCACACUGGAGAGAAACCGUAUGAAUGCUUCGAGUGUGGAAAGAGCUUCAGUGCGAGAGGAUCACUUACUAUGCAUCAAAGAAUCCACAAUGGAGCCAAACCAUAUAAAUGUCUGGAGUGUGGAAAGAGCUUCAGUCAGAGAGGAUCACUUACUAUGCAUCAAAGAACCCACACUGGAGAUAAACCAUAUGAGUGCUUCGAGUGUGGAAAGACCUUCUCUGCAAGUGGACAACUUACCGUACAUCAAACAGUGCACACUGGAGAUAAACCAUAUGAGUGCUUUGAGUGUGGAAAGAGCUUCUCUGCAAGUGGACAACUUACUGUGCAUCAAAGAACCCACAGUGGAACCAAACCAUAUAAAUGUUUGGAGUGUGGAAAGAGCUUCAAGGUCAGUUCCCAACUAACUUCACAUCAAAGAACCCACACUGGAGAGAAGCCAUAUCAGUGCUUGGAGUGCGGAAAGAGCUUCAUUCAGAGUGGAUCGCUUACUGUGCAUCAAAGAACCCACACUGGAAAUAAACCAUUUCAGUGCUUGGAGUGUGGAAAGGGCUUCACUGACAGUGGACACCUUACCGUACAUCAAAGAAUCCACACUGGAGAGAAACCUUAUCAGUGCUUGGAGUGUGGGAAGAGCUUCAGUGCAAGUGGAUCACUUUCUAUGCAUCAAAGAACCCACAAUGGAGCCAAACCCUAUAAAUGUUUGGAGUGUGGAAAGAGCUUCAGUACCAGCGGAUCACUUUCUAUGCAUCAAAGAACCCACAAUGGAGCCAAACCCUAUAAAUGUUUGGAGUGUGGAAAGAGCUUCAGUGCGAGCGGAUCACUUACUGUGCAUCAAAGAACCCACACUGGAGAGAAACCAUAUCAGUGCUUGCAGUGUGGAAAGAGCUUCAGUGAGCAUUCUUCGCUCACUUCACAUCAAAGAAUCCACACUGGAGAGAAACCAUAUGAGUGCUUGGAGUGUGGAAAGAGCUUCUCCGUCAGUGGAAAACUUCGCAGACAUCAAAGAUUACACACUGGAGAGAAACCAUAUAAAUGCUUGGAAUGUGGAAAGAGCUUCUCUGUCAGUGGACUACUUACUUUGCAUCAAAGAAUCCACACUGGAGAGAAACCAUAUCAGUGCUUGGAGUGUGGAAAGAGCUUCUCUGUCAGUGGAUCGCUUACCAGGCAUCAAAGAACCCACACUGGAGAGAAGCCGUAUCAGUGCUUGGAGUGUGGAAAGAGCUUCUGCCAAAGUUCACAACUGACCACCCAUCAAAGAACCCACACUGGAGAGAAACCAUAUCCGUGCUUGGAGUGUGGAAAGAGUUUCAGCCACAGUUCACAACUGACUAUGCAUCAAAGAACCCACACUGGAGAGAAACCAUAUCAGUGCUGGGAAUGUGGAAAGAGUUUCAGCCACAGUUCACAACUGACUGUGCAUCAGAGAACCCACACUGGAGAGAAACCAUACCAGUGCUUGGAGUGUGGAAAGAGCUUCUCCGUCAGUGGAUCACUUACCAAGCAUCAAAGAACCCACACUGUCGAAAAACCAUAUCAGUGCUUGGAAUGUGGAAAGAGGUUUAGCAGGAGUGGAAAUCUUACUGUACAUCAGAGAACCCACACAGGAGAGAAAGCAUAUCAGUGCUUGCAGUGGGGAGGAGCCAAGAUGGCGAUGGCAGUGCAGACGAAGGAAUCAACAGUGACCUCACAUUGGCGUGAUCUUUUGAGGUCGAUUGAUCUUGAUCCCAAGGGGAUAAGGGAUACCUCAACUGUACAGCAACAAGCCUCUACCACAGUGGACAAUUAUCCUCAGGUUGGGGAUCCUUCGCUGACGUCUAGUGAGGAUCCAGUUGUUUCAACUAAUCCAUUUACCUUGGAUACAGGUAACGACUGUCUGCCGUCUCUGGACAAGACCACAUCAUCCCGUACAGAGAGUAAUGUCCCUAAUUCCGAUGUGGAACAUCCCGAAAGCACCACAAUUGACAUUCAGCACAUAGGGAGGUGACGCUUAAGAUAUUCUCCUACAACUUUAGAGGUUUGGGGGCACCAAUAAAACCAAGGAGAGUUCUUAAAGCUGUACUCAGAGAAAAUCCAGGGAUUACAGCUUUGUAGGAAACUUGUGGCUGGGGAAAUAAUAAAAAGGACGUAUUUUAUCAUCCCCAAGUGAGACCACAAUUUAAGGCCCCAGGGUCACCCAGGCCCAGUGGGGUAGCAAUUAUACUGGCUCAGUCUUUUGAUCUCCACCAGAUUAAAUAAAGUUGAGAGAGAUCCAAAGGGACAAUAUAUUUUUAUUAAGGGUAAGCAUAGUGAAAGCUGCCUUUCAGCCUUUAAAACCUUAUUGAAGACAUUUCUUUUCGGCCAGGCGUUUGCCCUUUAAAUCCUUAAAAAAAAAAAAAAAAUCUCAGAUGCUGUUCUUGUUUUGUGCACUGCCCUGAGUCUGUGGAUCGGGCAGCAUAGUAAAUCUUUUAAUAAACAAAUAAAGAUCUAGUCUACACAAUUGCACCACUUUAUUGCCCUAAUCAAAAUCGAUACAAGUUUUUACUUAAUACACUUUCCAGAUUGGAAAAAUUUAGUGAAGGUAAUGUAAUUGUAGGGGGUGGUUUUAGCUGCGUUGUUGACCAUAUACAAGAUAAAAGUUUAACAGGGAUUUUAAAAAGAUAAACAAAAGUUCAGUUCAGUGGGAAAGCUAUUUAGACAGUUUUUGCUUACAGGUGUUAAAUUUUAUUCUGAAUUGUAUAGUCCAGACACGUGGGGUCCUGUAAAAUCGAUCAAUAUUUAAAUAACAUAGGAAUUACUGCCUUACUUGAUUGUCUUAGAGACUCUCCAAUACACCAUUUAUGACAGAGGAAAUAAUUAAGGGGCUAAAAAACGUUAAAUCCCCAGGUCCCGACAGUUUUACAGCCCUGAUAUAUAAGAGGUUUGGGGAUAUUUUGAUUCCCAGACUUACGGUCCUUUUUAAUUCCAUAUUAGAAGGCCGCCCAAUUCCUGACUCAUGGAGAUUUUUCAGAUUAGUCAUGAUUCCAAAAGCUAAUAAAGAUAAAGAACCUUGCUUUCUCAAAAUCUUAAGAUAUUUACAGCCUGUUUGGUGAGAAGGGUACAUCCUUUUAUAGCGCACUAUAUAGACCCUGAUCAGACUGGUUUUGUUAAAGGGCGUCAGAUUGCAGAUCCAAUUUGCCAGAUAUUGAACUGUUUAAACUACAGUUUAAAAAAGGAAGACGUCACUGGCUAUCCUGUCUUUAGAUAGAUUUAAAGCCUUUGAUCGGCUGCAAUGGCCGUACUUAGUUAAAUUAUUAGAUUAUUUACAGAUGGGUACAGGGUUCACUAAUAUUAUUAAGCAACUUUAUUACAGAUCUUUUGCAACAGUUCGAGUUAAUUCUUGGGAUUCCAAGCCCUCUAAUAUGACGAGGUGCACAAAACAAGGACAUCCACUCCCCCUAUUACUAUUCAUAAUGUCUAUAGAACCUUUGGCCAUCAGAUGUGUCUCAGGUGGAGGCUGGGGCCAGGAGUGCUUGGUGUCAGCUCCAGCUGAUUCGACAGCUGAGCCCAUUCCUUGAAGAGGAUGACCACAAAACAGUGGUGCAUCCGCUGGUAACCUUCCGGCUUGACUACUGCAAUGUGCUCUACAUGGGGCUGCCUUUGUACGAAGUUCAGAAACUUCAGUUAGUUCAGAAUGCGGCUGCCAGAUUGGUCUCUGGGGCAACCCGGAGACACCAUAUGAUGCCUGUUUUGAAACCGUUACACUGGCUGCCGAUAUGUUUCCGGGCAAAAUACAAAGUGCUGGUUAUUACCUUCAAAGCCCUGAAUGGCUUGGGUCCGAGAUAUCUUAGAGAGCGCCUUCUUCUGCAUGAUCCCCACCACACGUUAAGGUCAUCCGAGGAGGUCCGUCUCCACUUUGUCUAGUGGCGACUCAGAGGCGGGUCUUCUCUGUGGCUUCUCCUGGGCUGUGGAAGGCACUCCCGGCAGGAAUCCGCAAUUGGAGUUCAUUACUGUCUUUCAGGAGAGUCCUUAAAACCUAUCUGUUGGGCCUGGCCUUCCAGGGUUUUUAAACUAUUGUAAACUGUUUUAAAUGGUUGCCCUGGUUUUCCAGGGUUUUUAGCUGUUUGACUGUUUAAUUGGUUUUAUUCUGUUUUUAUAGUUUUGAUUUUAAUUGUUAACUGGUUUUACUUGUUUUUAUUCUGUUGUAAACUGCCCUGAGCCAUUUUGGAAGGGCGGUAUAUAAAUCAAAUCAAUUAAUCAAUCAAUCAAUCAAUCAAUAAUUAAUUAAUAUAUGCGGACACUGCAUUAAUUUUGACGGACCCCAUAAAGUCUAUUUCAGCUAUACAGGAAGAACUGGAAAAAUGUGAACAAGUUGCAGGUCUGAAAACAAACUUAACUAAAUCAGAAUUUCCUUUCCCCCGGAAUCUGUCUUAAAUUUCAAAACAACUUAGUAAAUUCUUUAGGGGUUCCCAAAAUCUCAAAAGCUAUUCAAUAUUUGGGUGUUUAUAUAUCUAAAAACCUAUCACAGCUUAAAAGAGUGAAUUACUCUCCAAUUAUUGGCCUUAUAAAAAGGAAAAUCAAAAAUUGGGAAAGUUCCAAUCUGUCCUUGAUGGGUCGGAUAGCCGCUACAAAGAGGCAUUUACUUCCAAGAUUACUGUUUCUCAGGCAGGUUUUGCCAAUUAAAUUGUCUAAGUCUACACUGGGUAGAUGGCAAAAGGUUUUAAAUGUUUGUAUUCAUUCUGGGGCGAAAUCGAGGUUCCGUAAUAACGUUCUCUGGGCAGCUCACAACAACCUUAGCCCAUAAAAACACAGAAAACACAGUGUAUUGGUUAGAGUGGUUGACUAGAACUGGCGAGACCUGAGUUCAAGUCCCCGUUCAGCCAUGAAAUUCACUGGGUGACUCUGGGCCAGUCGUAUCUCUCAGCCCAACCUACCUCACAGGGUUGUUGUGAGGAUAAACAUAACCAUGUACACUGCUCUGUGUUCCUUGGAGGAAAAGUGGGAUAGGAAUGCUUGGUGGCCAUAAGCCAGGCCUGUCGGGAAGCGAUCCGGAGGGGGGUGUUGGAAAUGGAGUUCCAGUGCAUCGACCUUUUGCACCGACUAUCAUAAUGACCACUAGGGGCACUGGGAGUAGUGAUAGUGAGUGGGGGUCUCCUUACCUCUCUCUACUUUACCUCUGCUCUGUGACCUCUGAUAUGACUCCUCAGGCAUUUCUUGUGAGAGUCAGAAUCCCUUUCCUUUCCUCUUAGAGAGCAGAUGGGAACAUCUCCCUCUCUCUCUACCUAUUCAUUGUGUAGCCUAUAGAUUAGGGUUAGGUCUUUCCUAUCCAAGGUGUACUUCACCAAUAAAUCUACUUAGUGUUUCGUUCCACAAGAAUCUCCCUGCGUCUUCUCUAAACAGCUGCAACAACUAAACUCUGCAUUCUGCUCUGCAACUGGAGUGGGUCGCUUCUUUAGCGCUCCGCUAAUUAAUCACAAAACCCAUCCUGGGCAAAUGACAACCUCCAACAGGGGGAACAACGCCUUCUGUUCUCCAAGGAACGGGCAGCCCAGGCUGUGCUGGACGAGAUGGACCAUAUUUCGGAGGACCCCGUGCCCCACCACCUCUUCUCUCUGCGCACAGAGGCCAUCGCCUUCUUGAGCUUCUCCCACAGCAAUGGCAGUUCUGCCCACGGAGGGAAACCAGCCCAAAUCCAC
Hemicordylus capensis (graceful crag lizard) is the source of this 6868-nucleotide RNA transcript. It is a transcript of the gene named zinc finger protein 345-like, with no coding region annotated. The transcript is spliced from 5 exons. The record is from RefSeq and is a predicted model, not a curated record. NCBI's taxonomy places the organism in Eukaryota, Metazoa, Chordata, Lepidosauria, Squamata, Cordylidae.